Molecule: ribosomal RNA, 361 nt
Filed under: uncultured bacterium
Lineage: Bacteria
Description: bacterial SSU rRNA
Rfam family: Bacterial small subunit ribosomal RNA
Source: RNAcentral
GACGAACGCUGGCGGUGUGCUUCACACAUGCAAGUCGAACGAGGUAGCAAUACCUAGUGGCGGACGGGUGAGUAACGCGUGGGAAUCUGCCCAUAGGUGGGGGGAUAACUAGCCGAAAGGUUAGCUAAUACCGCAUAUGCCGAGAGGUAAAAGGAGUAAUCCGCCUUUGGAUGAGCCCGCGUCCGAUUAGCUAGUUGGUAGGGUAAAAGCCUACCAAGGCUACGAUCGGUAGCUGGUCUGAGAGGAUGAUCAGCCACAAUGGGACUGAGACACGGCCCAUACUCCUACGGGAGGCAGCAGUGGGGAAUUUUACGCAAUGGGGGGAAACCCUGGACGUAGCGACACCGCGUGAACGAAGAAG